AUGAAUGGUCCGCGAGGCGCCACGUCCACUAUGCAACGGCUAACCUUCGUUCACCGCGAAACGCCCACCGCCGCGCCGCACUCCGUCGAUUCCCCAACCCCGAUCGACAAGGACACCGCCGGGAAGAAUCCGACCAUGAGCGCCGCCGCGGCCAACGUCGCCGUCAUCGGAGCCGGAAUAACGGGCGCCGUGUGCGCCUCGCUCCUGGCCACGCGCGGGGUGGCGGUGACGCUCUUCGACUCCGGACGCGGCCCCGGCGGCCGCAUGGCGCAGCGGAGGGAGGUGAUGGACGACGGCACGGAGCUACGGUUCGACCAGGGCGCGCCCUACUUCACCGUCAGCAACGACGAGGUCGCCGGGGUCGUGGGCGGAUGGGAGGCGCAGGGGCUCAUCACCGAGUGGAAGGCCAUGUUCGCCUGCUUCGAUCGGGAGACCGGCAAAUUCAGAGACUUCGAUAAGGUCCUGUCGUAA
RNAcentral lists this ribosomal RNA (471 nucleotides) under Triticum aestivum (bread wheat). RNAcentral's name for it is "partial small subunit ribosomal RNA". Lineage: Eukaryota; Viridiplantae; Streptophyta; Magnoliopsida; Poales; Poaceae. The record is from RNAcentral.